CGUUCGCACAUUCACACUCUACUCAUUCGCGCCCAAUUUUAAUUCAAAUUCAAGUUGAAUAAUUGGAAAAUCAUGGUUGUUGUUUUAAAUUGCUUUGGUGUAAAUACUGAAUGUAUUUAUAGCUUGGUAUGAGUAAAACAUUGAAGAUUUUAAAGGAAAAAUCACAAAAGAUAAUUGUUUUUAACAGCUUCGUCCCAUUGAUCUGAAACAACGAAACAAUAAAACAUAGAAACCAAAAUAUAGCAAUCCACUAAUAUAACCAAAACAUGAUAAAAUUUAUUCAACACGCAGAAACAAACAUAGUCAGAAUCUCACUUCAUUUUGAAAACAAGUCAAUGAAACAAGUUAUAGCAAUACACUAACCAAAACAUGAUUAAGAGUUAUUCAACACAAAAUAAAACGUUGACAAAAUACCACUUUAUUUAGAAAGGAUUAUUAUUAUUUUAAGCAAUACCUUAUCCAAAACAUGAUUAAGAUUUAUUCAACACAAAAAAAAUUAUUGCUGUCUCACUUUAUUUUGAGACAAUGGUAACAAUUAUACUUAUAAGAAAACACUUGCUUACAGAGUUAUUAAACACAAAACCAAUUAAGAUUGGGUGCGAACAUGUAGGGUGUGAAAGUGAAAGGGGUGAAAAUGAGUGGGCGCAAACGUGAAUGGAAGCGAACGGACCCAGAUUCAGACUAUGUACUAGUGAGAAAUAUACAAGCCUUUCUACGGUAUUUAUUUGUACAAUUCAGCUAGUCUUGACCUAUUCAUUUGUCUUAAAAAAACCAGCCAGUUGUCACCUUCACUUCACACAUACACACAUAUACGAAUAUCAAUUAUAUGCUCACGACACAUGUUGCAUUGUUAAACUAAUUACGGUAUGUGAAAAUCAAGACUUGCAUAAAAACUAUCCCAAUAUUAGAGACAGUGGCGUCAUUUUUCUUCAGAGCUUUCAGCUCUUUGAUUAGAAU
Molecule: long non-coding RNA, 957 nt
Filed under: Mytilus galloprovincialis (Mediterranean mussel)
Lineage: Eukaryota; Metazoa; Mollusca; Bivalvia; Mytilida; Mytilidae
Source: RNAcentral